This 153-nucleotide ribosomal RNA is filed under the name uncultured Curvibacter sp. RNAcentral describes it as "partial 16S ribosomal RNA". Lineage: Bacteria; Pseudomonadati; Pseudomonadota; Betaproteobacteria; Burkholderiales; Comamonadaceae. The record is from RNAcentral.
UAUUCUUACGGUACCGUCAUGAGCCCCUAGUAUUAAUAGAGACCUUUUCGUUCCGUACAAAAGCAGUUUACAACCCGAGGGCCUUCAUCCUGCACGCGGAAUGGCUGGAUCAGACUUGCGUCCAUUGUCCAAAAUUCCCCACUGCUGCCUCCC